GACGAACGCUGGCGGCGUGCUUAACACAUGCAAGUCGAACGGUGAAGCGCCUUCCUUUUUGGUGGGUGUGGAUGAGUGGCGAACGGGUGAGUAACACGUGAGUAACCUGCCCCCUUCUUCUGGAUAACCGCAUGAAAGUGUGGCUAAUACGGGAUAUUCUGGGUCUGUCGCAUGAUGGGUCUGGGAAAGAUAUUGUUUCGGUGGGGGAUGGGCUCGCGGCCUAUCAGCUUGUUGGUGGGGUGAUGGCCUACCAAGGCGGUGACGGGUAGCCGGCCUGGGAGGGUGGACGGUCACACUGGGACUGAGACACGGCCCAGACUCCUACGGGAGGCAGCAGAGGGGAAUAUUGCACAAUGGGCGCAAGCCUGAUGCAGCGACGCCGCGUGAGGGAUGGAGGCCUUCGGGUUGUGAACCUCUUUCGCCAGUGAAGCAGGCCUGCCUCGUUUGUGGGUGGGUUGACGGUAGCUGGAUAAGAAGCGCCGGCUAACUACGUG
RNAcentral lists this ribosomal RNA (494 nucleotides) under uncultured bacterium. RNAcentral's name for it is "partial 16S ribosomal RNA". It matches the Rfam family "Bacterial small subunit ribosomal RNA", at positions 28 to 507 of the family's 1533-position model. The record is from RNAcentral.